RNAcentral lists this long non-coding RNA (741 nucleotides) under Heterocephalus glaber (naked mole-rat). RNAcentral's name for it is "lncRNA (ENSHGLG00000048967.1)". The record is from RNAcentral. Lineage: Eukaryota; Metazoa; Chordata; Mammalia; Rodentia; Bathyergidae.
CGCUGAGCCUCAGGAGGAUAUUCCAAGAUUGCAAACUUACCUAACAUUUCCUUCACAGAAUCAAAGCAUGCAAAUGGGCUCUGGGUGCUGUUGCCAUUUACUGUGGGGACCAAUUUUUUUUUCUAUUUUUUUUUUCUAUCAGGCAGCACCUGCCUCUCUAUUCAGAGAUGCCUGCGUGCAAGGCUGAAUGCAAACAACAAAGGCUUCGACUGUGGCAGAGGCUGCGUGAUUUUCUUGGACCUUGCCAUUAUGUUUCAGGUCAGAGAUUGAGGUCCACAGCACAGGGACCUUUUAAUAUCAGGUGCAUCAUCCCAUGGCCACCGCUGAGGACUCAGCCACUCCUUCCUCCACAUCCUGCUUCCCCUCACCUAUGAGCUCCUGGGGUCAUCUUGGUCUUCAUUCCAAAACAGCACAGAAGUAGAGCUCAGCACAGCAGAGCACACCUUUAUUCCAGCACCCAGGAGCCUGGGGCAGGAAGGUCACCAGCCUGGGCUACACAUUACUGAGUCUCAUAAUAACUAUGUGAGAAGAAGCAGUUACAAGAGCAGAAAUAGCAGCAUGAAGAAGGAACAGAAAGGAUGAAAAAGGAAGGAAGGGAAGGGAAGAGUGGAAAGCUGGCUGCCUGACUUACUGCAAUCACAAGAUCUGAUCAAAAACUACUAUGAAUGAUUGCAUCUUUUAAAAUUUAAAAAUUAUUCCAGGAAAGGACACUUUGCCAUGAAUCCCCUUUAAAGUCCUCCC